This 352-nucleotide ribosomal RNA is filed under the name uncultured bacterium. Its description in RNAcentral is "bacterial SSU rRNA". It matches the Rfam family "Bacterial small subunit ribosomal RNA", at positions 917 to 1267 of the family's 1533-position model. The record is from RNAcentral.
GGACCCGCACAAGUAGUGGAGCAUGUGGUUUAAUUCGAAGUACGCGCAGAACCUUACCAACACUUGACAUGUUCGUCGCGACUCUAAGAGAUUAGAGUUUUCGGUUCGGCCGGACGAAACACAGGUGCUGCAUGGCUGUCGUCAGCUCGUGUCGUGAGAUGUUGGGUUAAGUCCCGCAACGAGCGCAACCCUCACUUUUAGUUGCCAUCAUUAAGUUGGGCACUCUGAAAGAACUGCCAGUGAUAAGCUGGAGGAAGGUGGGGAUGACGUCAAGUCCUCAUGGCCCUUACGUGUUGGGCUACACACGUGCUACAAUGGUAUCUCAACAGGAAGCAAAAUCUGCGAAGUUAAG